CCUACGGGUGGCAGCAGUGAGGAAUAUUGGUCAAUGGACGCAAGUCUGAACCAGCCAUGCCGCGUGCAGGAAGACGGCCCUAUGAGUUGUAAACUGCUUUUGUACGAGGGUAAACGCAGACACGCGUAUCUGUCUGAAAGUAUCGUACGAAUAAGGAUCGGCUAACUCCGUGCCAGCAGCCGCGGUAAUACGGAGGAUUCAAGCGUUAUCCGGAUUUAUUGGGUUUAAAGGGGGCUUAGGCGGUCGGUUAAGUUAGAGGUGAAAUCCCGAGGCUCAACGUCGGAAUUGACGCGGAUACUGUGCGUCUAGAGGGUAGGUGAGGUAGGCGGAAUGUAUGGUGUAGCGGUGAAAUGCUUAGAUAUCAUGAAGAACACCGAUUGCGAAGGCAGCUUGC
This 394-nucleotide ribosomal RNA is filed under the name uncultured bacterium. Its description in RNAcentral is "partial 16S ribosomal RNA". It matches the Rfam family "Bacterial small subunit ribosomal RNA", at positions 338 to 729 of the family's 1533-position model. The record is from RNAcentral.